Mus musculus (house mouse) is the source of this 129-nucleotide long non-coding RNA. RefSeq annotates it as predicted gene 7365. The record is from RefSeq and is a predicted model, not a curated record. The transcript is spliced from 3 exons. NCBI's taxonomy places the organism in Eukaryota, Metazoa, Chordata, Mammalia, Rodentia, Muridae.
AGAUGAAGAAGAAGAGCAGGCUCAUUCUGAAGUAAAGAGGCCAGCAUUUGGCAAACAUGAGAAUAUGCCGCCUCACGUAGAAGCAGAUGAAGAUAUAAGAGAUGAACAAGACAGUAUGUUGGAUAAAUC